ACGGUUUCGUGAGAUUUAAUAGGGAACACGGUGAAAAUCCGCGACAGUACCCGCUGCUGUAAGUUCCAUCGAAAGUUCGGACAACCUGCCACUGACCUAUGGUUGGGAAGGCGUCCGGGCGGAACAAGUCAGAAGACCUGCCAUGAACGUAUA
This 153-nucleotide non-coding RNA is filed under the name pig gut metagenome. The record is from RNAcentral.